UAUCGAUACCAUCGGUACAGCUCUAGCGUUCACAACAAAAUAUACACAAAUUAAGUUGUUUUAAGCCGAAUUUUCCGAUUCCCAGGCGACGAGAUGAGCUCAACGCGACCGUUCUGCUUCGUUUGCGGCAAGGAGAAGUCCGUGGGCGUGUUCCAGCUGAUCGAAGGCUGCAUAGUGCCAGGCACCUUCAAGCCGAUCAAGGAUAUACUGAAGUACUUCGAGAAGAUCAUCAACCACCGACUGGACCUCGCGCCCAACUCCGCCGCCUGCCGCGACUGCCUGGAGUAUCUCUUCAACUACGACCGGCUGGUGAGGAAUCUCAGCCAGGUGCAGCGCCAGAUUGCGGACGCACUGCUGGGCUGCCGGCAGGUGGAGGGCAAGCCGGAGAGCAAACAGCAGGCCUCCAAGAGGGCCAGGGUGCAGGUGCCGGCCUUCAAGAUCAUCCAGGCCACCCCGCUGCAGGAGCGGUCGCCGGAGAAGCACGAUGAGCCAGAGCAAGAGGAGGAGGGCGACGGCGAGGAGUUCAUGCGGGAGGAGAUGCUGGACGAGGACUUCCAGUUCAGCGAGCCGGACGACAGCAUGCCCUCCUCGGAAGAGGAGUUCUUCACCGAGACCACCGAGAUACCCUGCCACAUCUGCGGCGAGAUGUUCUCCAGCCAGGAGGUUCUCGAGCGGCACAUCAAGGCGGACACCUGCCAGAAGUCGGAGCAAGCCACCUGCCAAGUGUGCGGCCUGAAGGUCAAGGACGACGAGGUGCUCGAUCUGCACAUGAACCUGCACGAGGGCAAGACCGAGCUGGAGUGCCGCUACUGCGACAAGAAGUUCUCCCACAAGCGGAACGUGCUGCGGCACAUGGAGGUGCACUGGGACAAGAAGAAGUACCAGUGCGACAAGUGCGGCGAGCGCUUCUCGCUGUCGUGGCUCAUGUACAACCAUCUGAUGCGCCACGACGCCGAGGAGAACGCCCUGAUCUGCGAGGUGUGCCACCAGCAGUUCAAGACCAAGCGCACCUACAAGCACCACUUGCGCACCCACCAGACGGAUCGGCCGCGCUAUCCCUGCCCCGACUGCGAGAAGUCCUUCGUGGACAAGUACACUCUGAAGGUGCACAAGCGGGUCCACCAGCCGGUCGAGAAGCCAGAGUCGGCGGAGGUGGCCAAGGAGACCACGGCGACGUUCUUUUAGAUGUAGUCAUCCCUGCUAGUUUAAUCUAAGAAGCCCAGCUUAUGGGUCUCUAAGCGCGAACUCUCGCAGGUAGAAUCGCGGAUUUCGCGAAACUUCGCCGGCCAUGGUAAUAAACUGGCAGAUGUUUUCCCGAUUCCCAGAAGAGGUCCUUCUACCUGUGUGCGGGCCGUAUAUAAGGCCAUGCCGCG
Molecule: RNA transcript, 1373 nt
Organism: Drosophila biarmipes
Lineage: Eukaryota; Metazoa; Arthropoda; Insecta; Diptera; Drosophilidae
Gene name: serendipity locus protein beta
Exons: 3
Source: RefSeq, a predicted model, not a curated record